GUGCCAGCCGCCGCGGUAAUACGUAGGUGGCAAGCGUUGUCCGGAUUUAUUGGGCGUAAAGCAUGCGCAGGCGGAUACUUAAGUGAGAUGUGAAAUCCCCCGGCUUAACUGGGGGGCUGCAUUUCAAACUGGAUGUCUAGAGUGCAGGAGAGGAAAGCAGAAUUCCUAGUGUAGCGGUGAAAUGCGUAGAGAUUUGGAAGAAUACCAGUGGCGAAGGCGACUUUCUGGACUGUAACUGACGCUGAGGCAUGAAAGCGUGGGGAGCAAACAGGAUUAGAUACCCUGGUAGUCCACGCCGUAAACGAUGAGUACUAGGUGUAAGGGGUAUCGACUCCUUCUGUGCCGCAGUUAACACAAUAAGUAUUCCGCCUGGGGAGUACGGUCGCAAGAUUAAAACUCAAAUGAAUUGACGG
This 413-nucleotide ribosomal RNA is filed under the name uncultured bacterium. Its description in RNAcentral is "bacterial SSU rRNA". It matches the Rfam family "Bacterial small subunit ribosomal RNA", at positions 505 to 916 of the family's 1533-position model. The record is from RNAcentral.